UCCCUGGUGGUCCAGUGGUCAAAACCUGGCACUUUCACUGCCAAGGGUCCAGGUUCAAUCCCUGGAUGGGGGC
This 73-nucleotide transfer RNA is filed under the name Bos taurus (domestic cattle). It matches the Rfam family "tRNA". Rfam says of the family: Transfer RNA (tRNA) molecules are approximately 80 nucleotides in length. Their secondary structure includes four short double-helical elements and three loops (D, anti-codon, and T loops). RNAcentral also lists the same sequence under 4 other names. Lineage: Eukaryota; Metazoa; Chordata; Mammalia; Artiodactyla; Bovidae. The record is from Rfam by way of RNAcentral.